RNAcentral lists this long non-coding RNA (2887 nucleotides) under Canis lupus familiaris (dog). RNAcentral describes it as "lncRNA (ENSCAFG00000050239.1, ENSCAFG00845012108.1)". The record is from RNAcentral. Lineage: Eukaryota; Metazoa; Chordata; Mammalia; Carnivora; Canidae.
GUCGGAGGCGAGUACGGCGCUCGCUGUUGCCCCCUGCUGGGCGAGCGUCACCCUGAGCGGCCGCGGGCGCCCGGAAAGGAGUGACUUUCCAGGGUCGCGCGGCCCCGGAUAGAGCGGCUGGGGACAUGGGCUCGCAGGGCUCACGUCUUGGCCGGAAGCCCGCCGUCUCCGCCAGGAGACUCCUUGCCCGGUGCUGCGCUCCUUUGCAGGGCGAGGGCCCCCUUUUAAGGAAACGGUAGACGGUGGACCGUUUGGGGAACAGGAUGGUUUGCAGAGAAUGGGGAUCUGGACGAGAGACAGCAGAUGCUCCGGGGAUGCUGGACUUGGUGCACGGUGGGUUUUCGGGGAGGGCAGGGUGGCCUUGCCUGGAUAUGGGUGUUGGGAAGACAGACACAGGCUCCCGGUCUUCGCUUGGAGAACCGGGGCGGCGGGGCGCGGGAUGUCUGGGGGCGUCUAGGAGGGUGGGUGCCACGGAGAGACUGGGCGACCGCACAGAUGCGGAAACCUCAUCUGGGAUGGUGGGUCCCCCGGGGAGGAGGGGAAGCAGGCCCAGGAAAUAGGACAAAACUGUGAGGAAGGGUGAGUGGGGAUGGAGCUGAGAGAGGGAACAGCUGUGAGCCGCAGGUGAGGAGCCGGCCUCUUCCCUGGGCAGGGAGCCUCCAGCCGGGCCUGAACUGCUGAGUGAAGGCUCCCCGGAGUUACCCACUGGGGAGUGGCAGGGGGCUUCAGGAGAGGGUGCCUGGAGGUGGGACCCCUGUCUGAGUGAGAACGGCCCACAGCAAGUCUAGGUAGACCUUGACUGGGGAUGUGGGUGUGCAGGGCGAGGCCAGUAGAGGAAGAGCCAGCGAGGGAGAGAGGGCAGAGAUCCAGCCGGACAGAGGUUUGCACUCAGGACCUUGGGGUAGGGUGUUUGCUAGCACCAGCCUGGUCAGGUAGGCCUUGGAGGGGUGGUGGCGAGAAUGACAUCGUGGGACGGUAAGAAGGGGGGGCCGUGUGGCUUCAUGUUGAAGCUACAGAGGAGCAGAGGGGACUGGUGAGGCCCCAAGAGAGGCAACAGAUAGGUUUGCAGAGAUGGGGGGUCAGGAGGCAGCACAGCCGGCAGGGCCAAGGGGGUAAGGGGCACCUGAGCCUCCCCCGGGCAAAAUAAAGGUUUUUUUUUUUUUUUCAAGAUUUUAUUUAUUUAUUCAUGAGAGACACAGAGUGAGAGAGAGGCAGAGACACAGAGAGAGGGAGAAGCAGGCUCCAUGCAGGGAGCCUGACAUGGGACUCGAUCCCAGGUCUUCAGGAUCAGGCCCUGGACCGAAGGCGGCACCAAACCGCUGAGCCACCAGGGCUGCCCCAAAAUGAAGGGUUUUGAGGUCAGCCUGAGCUAGGCUCAGAGGACCAGAAAGGCAGAGGAAGAGGGCGUGGGGGUGCAGACAGUACCUGGACAGUCAGGCUGUGAGGUCCCCGAGAAGGUCCCUCGGGUCUCUGGGAUGGGGUAUGGUGGGGCAGGACCCCCUACUCUCCCUCUCCUAGAGCCGGAUGCAGCCAGAAGGUGGCUAACCAGGUCCACUGCAGGACUUGUGUUCAGAGCCUUGCCAUUGGUCAGUGAUGUAGGAGUCAAAGGCAGAAGAAAAGUUAUUGAAUUACUAUUGACAAAUCCUUAAAACAGAGUGAUUUCUCCGAGGAGCUCAGCCGCCUCGGUGUUAGCACUGUGCUGAGGGCAACAGGCAAUUCUAGCUCGGCCCCCAGGACCCUGUGAGUCUACUUGAACAUAUAGAAAUUCUUUUAUCUCUACCCCCCAAGAUACAUGUUGGCGAUCAUCCCCAGGCACAUGGCCCGCAGAUAGACAUCUGAAAGGUGUCAUGACUCAAGUUUAAUGAAACAGUAAUAAAAGAGCUUCUCCUGACAAUAGCCAGCCCCCUCAGGAUCCUGGAAACCUUGCUUCCAAAUUUCUUAGAGACUUAGGCUCUCCCUAACCCCUUCCCAAUUUGAAAGUCUGUAAUAGGCCACUCCUUGUGAUCCCAGUGCAGCCCUUCCUGCCCUCGGGUCCUGUCCCCCUGCUUUAAUAAAACCCCUUUUUUGCACCAAAGAUGUCUCAAAAAUUCUUUCUUGGCUGUCAGCUUUGAGCUCUAUGUUUCCUACAUCAGUCGGUGCCACAGUCUGAGGUGAAAUGGUCAACAGAGCCACCCAAGAGUUCCAAGGAAUGUCUCACAGCUGGGACCAGGGAAGCUUCAAGAAGCGCUGCUCCGGGAGGCUUGCUUGCUCGGGCCUUUCCUGAAGGCCUACCUGGAGAUGGCGGGCAUGGACUUAAGGGAGGGCCACCAAUGCUGGGGCUCUCAGAGGUGCAGACACCUGCCUGAUGUGGAUUGUGCUCCCGCCUCAUGCUCCGUGUAUCUCUCCUUGCAGAGAUGGGGGUCCUGGCUGGUGUCCCCCCAACCUUCAAAGCCCAGAGACCCCCGAUUUGGCUCCAUCUCACUAGCCUGAAGGUCAACUUCCAUGUGAGGGGCCAUCAAGUCUGGCACACAGCAGGGAUGCCAUAAAUCUGGGUCCCCUGGAGAUGGGGGCCUCUAGGGACAGCCACACAGGACAUAGGGUUCUAAGGCCUUCAAGAGGGACCCAUCUGCCUCUGCCACCAGAUGAGGCCCUCCCCACAAAGUACCUUUUGCUUCUGCUGAUGAGUGGGGCACCCUUCUCUUAGCAUCCAAGAUUAUGUCUGCCCAGCAAUUCAAACUUUAUUCUUAGAAAUUAUUUCCAGGGCACCUGGAUGGCUCCGUCAGUUAAGCAUUUGACUCUUGAUUUCGGCUCAGGUUGUAUCUUGGGGUCAUGAGAUUGAGUCCCAUGUCAGGCUCUGCAUUCAGCACCGAGUCACCUUGAGAUUCUCUCUUGUCCUUCUGCCCCUCCC